CCUACGGGGGGCUGCAGUGGGGAAUAUUGCACAAUGGGCGCAAGCCUGAUGCAGCCAUGCCGCGUGUGUGAAGAAGGCCUUCGGGUUGUAAAGCACUUUCAGCGGGGAGGAAGGCGUUAAGGUUAAUAACCUUGGCGAUUGACGUUACCCGCAGAAGAAGCACCGGCUAACUCCGUGCCAGCAGCCGCGGUAAUACGGAGGGUGCAAGCGUUAAUCGGAAUUACUGGGCGUAAAGCGCACGCAGGCGGUCUGUCAAGUCGGAUGUGAAAUCCCCGGGCUCAACCUGGGAACUGCAUUCGAAACUGGCAGGCUAGAGUCUUGUAGAGGGGGGUAGAAUUCCAGGUGUAGCGGUGAAAUGCGUGGAGAUCUGGAGGAAUACCGGUGGCGAAGGCGGCCCCCUGGACAAAGACUGACGCUCAGGUGCGAAAGCGUGGGGAGCAAACAGGAUUAGAUACCCUUGUAGUC
This 465-nucleotide ribosomal RNA is filed under the name uncultured Klebsiella sp. Its description in RNAcentral is "bacterial SSU rRNA". It matches the Rfam family "Bacterial small subunit ribosomal RNA", at positions 338 to 795 of the family's 1533-position model. Lineage: Bacteria; Pseudomonadati; Pseudomonadota; Gammaproteobacteria; Enterobacterales; Enterobacteriaceae. The record is from RNAcentral.